This 407-nucleotide ribosomal RNA is filed under the name Ammonia sp. Its description in RNAcentral is "partial large subunit ribosomal RNA". Lineage: Eukaryota; Foraminifera; Rotaliida; Rotaliidae. The record is from RNAcentral.
CGUAAUAAUAGAAACUAACCAGGAUUCCCUUAGUAACGGCGAGUGAACUGGGAUACCAAUAUACCAUCUGUGCGUACCUUGGUGCGUACAAAUUUUAGCCCGUCGAUACUAUCCUAGCAUAGUACUGGCUUCGGCCGGUAACCUAUCUAUGCGGGAAUUGUAGCAUCGUACAACAAAUAUAUUAUACACACUGUAUAUAUAUACGCGCAUUGCAACACACACAUAUAUUUUUAUGCGUACACUUACUUUCAUAAACACACAGCGCUCCCGCGUUGGAAAGCAAGUCUAUAUCCUUUUUGGGUAUGCCAUAGAGUGUGACAGCCACGUUUCAACUCUUACGUACGUACGCACUGCAUACGCGUUAUAUAUACACACACGUAUUUUAUAUAACCUGAGUCGAGUUAUUU